RNAcentral lists this ribosomal RNA (423 nucleotides) under uncultured prokaryote. Its description in RNAcentral is "bacterial SSU rRNA". It matches the Rfam family "Bacterial small subunit ribosomal RNA", at positions 355 to 796 of the family's 1533-position model. The record is from RNAcentral.
UAACGAAUCUUCCCCAAUGCGCGAAAGCGUGAGGGAGCAAUGCCGCGUGAAGGACGAAGCCCUUCGGGGUGUAAACUUCUAAAACCAUCAGGAAAGUUCUGAUCCGGUGGUGAUAAGGAGCGACUAACUCUGUGCCAGCAGUCGCGGUAAUACAGAGGCUCCGAGCGUUAGGCGGAAUCACUGGGCUUAAAGCGUGCGUAGGCGGCCCCUCAAGUGCUUUGUGAAAGCCCACGGCUCAACCGUGGAACUGCUCGGCAUACUGGGGGGCUUGAAUCAUCUAGGGGCGAGCGGAACUGACGGUGGAGCGGUGAAAUGCGUAGAUAUCGUCAGGAACGCCGAAGGCGAAAGCAGCUCGCUGGGGAUGAAUUGACGCUGAGGCACGAAAGCUAGGGUAGCGAACGGGAUUAGAUACCCCCGUAGUCC